Molecule: ribosomal RNA, 492 nt
Filed under: uncultured bacterium
Lineage: Bacteria
Description: partial 16S ribosomal RNA
Rfam family: Bacterial small subunit ribosomal RNA
Source: RNAcentral
AUUGAACGCUGGCGGCAUGCUUUACACAUGCAAGUCGAACGGUAACAGGCCUUCGGGUGCUGCCGAGUGGCGAACGGGUGAGUAAUGCAUCGGAACGUACCCAGAGGUGGGGGUUAACGCAGCGAAAGCUGUGCUAAUACCGCAUGUGAUCUGAGGAUGACAGCGGGGGACCGCGCAGCAAUGUUUGGCCUCGCGCCUUUGGAGCGGCCGAUGUCGGAUUAGCUAGUUGGUGGGGUAAAGGCCUACCAAGGCGACGAUCCGUAGCUGGUCUGAGAGGACGACCAGCCACACUGGGACUGAGACACGGCCCAGACUCCUACGGGAGGCAGCAGUGGGGAAUUUUGGACAAUGGGCGCAAGCCUGAUCCAGCAAUGCCGCGUGCGGGAAGAAGGCCUUCGGGUUGUAAACCGCUUUUGGCAGGAACGAAACGGUGUCCGCUAAUACCGGGCGCUAAUGACGGUACCUGCAGAAUAAGCACCGGCUAACUACGUG